CAGUUAUAGCAAAUAUGGAUAUGCUUAAUAUCUAAUUCAUAUCCAUAUUUGUUUAGAAUAAAUAUGGAUAUUAAUUUUGAUAUCCAUUGAGUAUUUGUAUCCAUAUUUAUAUUCAUUGAAAAUAUAGAUACAAAUAUGGAUAUACCACUAUUUGAUCUAUAUUCGAUCCAUUUUCAGCCCUAUCAGCUGUGCAACUUGAACUAGUACAUGCCUAC
Molecule: long non-coding RNA, 215 nt
Filed under: Elaeis guineensis (African oil palm)
Lineage: Eukaryota; Viridiplantae; Streptophyta; Magnoliopsida; Arecales; Arecaceae
Description: long non-coding RNA (EGUI_LNC045710)
Source: RNAcentral